UACGUAGGGCGCAAGCGUUGUCCGGAAUUAUUGGGCGUAAAGAGCUAGUAGGCGGUUUGUCGCGUCUGCUGUGAAAUCCCGAGGCUCAACCUCGGGCUUGCAGUGGGUACGGGCAGACUAGAGUGCGGUAGGGGAGACUGGAAUUCCUGGUGUAGCGGUGGAAUGCGCAGAUAUCAGGAGGAACACCGAUGGCGAAGGCAGGUCUCUGGGCCGCAACUGACGCUGAGGAGCGAAAGCAUGGGGAGCGAACAGG
RNAcentral lists this ribosomal RNA (253 nucleotides) under uncultured bacterium. RNAcentral's name for it is "partial 16S ribosomal RNA". It matches the Rfam family "Bacterial small subunit ribosomal RNA", at positions 524 to 776 of the family's 1533-position model. The record is from RNAcentral.